AGAGUGCUUGACUGCAAGACGUACAUGUCGAGCAGAGACGAAAGUCGGACUUAGUGAUCCGGUGGUUCUGAAUGGAAGGGCCAUCGCUCAACGGAUAAAAGUUACCCCGGGGAUAACAGGCUGAUCUCCUCCAAGAGUUCACAUCGACGAGGAGGUUUGGCACCUCGAUGUCGGCUCAUCGCAUCCUGGAGCUGGAGCAGGUUCCAAGGGUUGGGCUGUUCGCCCAUUAAAGCGGUACGUGAGCUGGGUUCAGAACGUCGUGAGACAGUAAAAAAUGACCUUGCUGUCUAUAAAUUCGACUAUAUGCUGGGAAGUCUGGUAUAAUCAAAAUUCAUGCCAGAUUAUCAGCAGGAAAGGCUAGCAACAGGUUAUUAUAUCGCUGGCUUUGUUGAUGGCGAAGGAAGUUUUCAUGUUGCUUUUGAAAAAAGAUCAAGCGUUAAGCUUGGCUGGCAAAUAAUUCCGGAAUUUCAUGUCAGUCAGCAUCAAAGUAAUUUAAAGCUGCUUCGCAAUAUUCAACGGUUCCUUGGUUGCGGGACAAUUCGUCCCAAUCAUCAAGGUAGCAAGCGG
This 567-nucleotide ribosomal RNA is filed under the name candidate division WOR-1 bacterium RIFCSPHIGHO2_01_FULL_53_15. RNAcentral's name for it is "bacterial LSU rRNA". The stretch from base 1 to 271 matches the Rfam family "Bacterial large subunit ribosomal RNA", at positions 2362 to 2632 of the family's 2925-position model. Lineage: Bacteria; Bacillati. The record is from RNAcentral.